ACCAGUAUUCUAUUACUCUGCCCGAAAUCUCAUCAGCCGCCGUCGCAUUUGAACCGGCAAUUGUUUUUUUUUCUCGUUUGUUGUCAUUUUCGUUUUUAAUGGCGACCUGCUGUCAUUUAAAAUGAAUAAAUAUAUUACUUUUAGAAAAGGGCCGACUGCUCGUAAAGAGAACGAUGGAAUUUAUAGAUUCGGCUGGGAAACUUGUCGAGAAAUCUUUUUUGCUUUUUUAGAUAAACUGACACGAGAGUUUGGUACCUUCUCAAACAGGCAUAAUUUCAAUCUAAUUAAUUGUAUCUGAGAUUUUUUUACCAGAUUUGUUUACUAACAGGGUUUGUACAACUUCAAUCUGGAUAAAAGUAGAUUGAAUUCUAAUAGAUUGAACUCCUUCUAUAUUUACUGCAGGAGCCCUCACUUUUUGCCAUAGCAAAACUGUUGGCAACUGGUCUUGUAAAUCUGAACAGGGUAGAAGUUCUUUGGCGUCCUGUAACAAAUCACCUGCUGGAAGUCAUCAUCCAUCCACUUAACCGCUUGAGAGAAUGGGGAAUAGAUGUCAUUACUACGUUAGUUAGAUCAGUAAUUCAAUAUGAUUAUUCUACCCCUUUAAAAGAAAACCAGAUAACUAUCC
Long non-coding RNA from Daphnia magna, 625 nucleotides. RefSeq lists it as uncharacterized. The record is from RefSeq and is a predicted model, not a curated record. The transcript has 2 exons. Lineage: Eukaryota; Metazoa; Arthropoda; Branchiopoda; Diplostraca; Daphniidae.